GGGGGUGUGAGAGCACGGCCCCCCACAAUGGGACUGAAACACGGCCCAUACUCCUACGGGAGGCAGCAGCAGGGAAUAUUGCACAAUAGGCGAAAGCCUGAUGCAGCGACGCCGCGUGAGUGAAGAAGGCCUUCGGGUCGUAAAGCUCUUUUGUAGGGGAAGAGGAAGGACGGUACCCUAAGAAGAAGCGUCGGCUAACUACGUGCCAGCAGCCGCGGUAAGACGUAGGACGCGAGCGUUAUCCGGAAUUACUGGGCGUAAAGGGCCAGCAGGCGGCUUGGUAAGUUGUGCGUGAAAGCCUCGUGCUCAACGCGAGGAAGCCGGACAAUACUGUCAAGCUAGAGGGCAUCAGAGGGGAGUGGAAUUCCCGGAGUAGCGGUAAAAUGCGCAGAUAUCGGGAGGAACACCGAUGGCGAAGGCAGCUCCCUGGGAUGCACCUGACGCUAAGAGGCGAAAGCUAGGGGAGCGAACAGGAUUAGAGACCCUGGUAGUCCUAGCUGUAAACGCUGGGUGCUAGGUGUGGGACGUAGAAGUUCCGUGCCGGAGCAAACGCGAUAAGCACCCCGCCUGGGAAUUACGGUCGCAAGGCUAAAACUCAAACGAAUUGACGGGGCCCCGCACAAGCAGCGGAGCGUGUGGUUCAAUUCGAUGCUACACGAAGAACCUUACCUGGGUUUGACAUGUACGUGGUACGAAGGCGAAAGCCUGAGGACCCUUCGGGGAGCGUACACAGGUGCUGCAUGGCUGUCGUCAGCUCGUGCCGUGAGGUGUCGGGUUAAGUCCCGUAACGAGCGCAACCCUUGCCCUUAGUUACAAGUGUCUAAGGGGACUGCCGGCGGGAAGCCGGAGGAAGGUGGGGAUGACGUCAAGUCAGCAUGCCCCUUAUGUCCAGGGCUACACACACGCUACAAUGGUCAGUACAAAGGGUAGCGAAGUCGCGAGGCGGAGCGAAUCUCAACAAAGCUGAUCGUAGUUCGGAUUGCAGGCUGCAACCCGCCUGCAUGAAGCUGGAGUUGCUAGUAACCGCGCGUCAGCCAUAGUGCGGUGAAUACGUACCCNGGGGCCUGUACACACCGCCCGUCACGUCAUGGGAGUCGGUAACGCCUGAAGCCGGUAGUCUGGCCCGCAAGGGGGGACGCUGUCGAAGGC
This 1149-nucleotide ribosomal RNA is filed under the name uncultured organism. RNAcentral's name for it is "bacterial SSU rRNA". It matches the Rfam family "Bacterial small subunit ribosomal RNA", at positions 286 to 1463 of the family's 1533-position model. The record is from RNAcentral.